GACGUAGGGUGCAAGCGUUGUCCGGAUUUACUGGGCGUAAAGAGCGCGUAGGCGGUUCAUUAAGUGUGAAGCUAAAUCUCUUGGCUCAACCAAGAAACUAUUUCGCAUACUGAUGGGCUGGAGUGAUGCAGAGGUGGAUAGAAUUCCCGGUGUAGCGGUGAAAUGCGUUGAUAUCGGGAGGAACACCAGUGGCGAAGGCGACUUCCUGGCCUGUUCUUGACGCUGAGGCGCGAAAGCUAGGGGAGCAAACGGG
RNAcentral lists this ribosomal RNA (253 nucleotides) under uncultured bacterium. Its description in RNAcentral is "partial 16S ribosomal RNA". It matches the Rfam family "Bacterial small subunit ribosomal RNA", at positions 524 to 776 of the family's 1533-position model. The record is from RNAcentral.